ACGCUCGACACCUACAGGAGGCAGCAGUGGGGAAUAUUGCACAAUGGGGGAAACCCUGAUGCAGCGACGCCGCGUGAGUGAAGAAGUAUUUCGGUAUGUAAAGCUCUAUCAGCAGGGAAGAAAAUGACGGUACCUGAGUAAGAAGCCCCGGCUAACUACGUGCCGGCAGCCGCGGUAAUCUGAGCGGGCUGGCAAGGC
RNAcentral lists this ribosomal RNA (198 nucleotides) under uncultured bacterium. RNAcentral's name for it is "partial 16S ribosomal RNA". It matches the Rfam family "Bacterial small subunit ribosomal RNA", at positions 328 to 539 of the family's 1533-position model. The record is from RNAcentral.